Pleuronectes platessa (European plaice) is the source of this 179-nucleotide long non-coding RNA. RefSeq lists it as uncharacterized. The transcript is spliced from 3 exons. NCBI's taxonomy places the organism in Eukaryota, Metazoa, Chordata, Actinopteri, Pleuronectiformes, Pleuronectidae. The record is from RefSeq and is a predicted model, not a curated record.
AAGAUGAAGAACUCUCACGUGGAGAAUCACAACAGGAUCGUGGAUCUGCAGUCCGAGCUGAUGAGGUUACAGGAGCAUUCACACCAACUCCUUCUGAGGUAUGACCGGCACUGCAUCAGUCCUCAGAGUCUCUACAGUCGAGAUCCUCCGAACCACCCCUCCCUGCAGAGUGAGAUGCA